Molecule: unclassified non-coding RNA, 250 nt
Filed under: plant metagenome
Description: partial contains small subunit ribosomal RNA, internal transcribed spacer 1, and 5.8S ribosomal RNA
Source: RNAcentral
GUAGGUGAACCUGCGGAAGGAUCAUUACAAAUCCAUCACGUCUCCCUGAGACAACGUCUAACUGUUCCGAGCGUGAGGGCGCACCUCGCUCGCCGCCGGUGGCCUUGAGCCAGCGCGCGGCGCGCAGUGCGUCCGAUCGCCGUACCUUUACAACCCCCUUCUUAAGCUGACUGACCUGUUGCUUCAUAUGUAUGCUUCUCAUGCGCAUAAUAACGCGAGAAACAACUUAUAACAAUGGAUCUCUAGGCUC